UGCGUAGGUGGUGAGGUAAGUCGGAUGUGAAAUCUCCGAGCUCAACUCGGAAAUGGCAUUGGAAACUACCUUGCUAGAGGAUUGGAGGGGAGACUGGAAUUCUCGGUGUAGCAGUGAAAUGCGUAGAUAUCGAGAGGAACACCAGUGGCGAAGGCGAGUCUCUGGACAAUUCCUGACACUGAGGCACGAAAAGCCAGGGGAGCAAACG
RNAcentral lists this ribosomal RNA (208 nucleotides) under uncultured bacterium. RNAcentral's name for it is "partial 16S ribosomal RNA". It matches the Rfam family "Bacterial small subunit ribosomal RNA", at positions 568 to 774 of the family's 1533-position model. The record is from RNAcentral.